Molecule: long non-coding RNA, 1059 nt
Organism: Etheostoma spectabile (orangethroat darter)
Lineage: Eukaryota; Metazoa; Chordata; Actinopteri; Perciformes; Percidae
Exons: 3
Source: RefSeq, a predicted model, not a curated record
GAAUGUAUCUGUGAGUCAGAUUUUGUUACCAACUUCCUUGUUGAUUGUCACCUCAGAAAUCCCUGUCAUGCAUCUUACAGUGGGGGGGACUUUUUUACAUGUUUAAGGGCUUCUAGUUUGAAUCAGUUAUUAUACACUUAUUAUUCUUUUGAAUUGUCUAUGAAAGCAAUUCACACUUAAACAACUGCUAUGGAAAACAAGUGUAAUUAUUUUAACAAUAACAUUUAUUGGUGGUACUUUAAGCCAGUGCUUAGCAUUAGUAAACUCUGUAUUCUGCGUGUUAACAACUGUAGCAUAUUAUGUCAGAUCGAAGAAACAGCAAUCUACCUUUGAAAUCACCAACUGGCCCAAAGCAGAGGGGCUCUCCAAGGCAACAGCCAAUCAAUACUGCCCUCAUGAGGCCAAGAUGCAUUAUGUCACGUAGUACUGUAUAUAAACCCAUUUAAGAACCUGCAUGCUUUGUACCUAGUACCAUUCACAAAACAUGCUGUUAAUAAAUCUAUUUACAGAUAGGUGAUUAACUUUUGGUGAAUCCUUUUUUCCCCUGAAUAUAUUAAUAAAAGAAGCAUUAGAUUAAGGAUUGAUUAUGUUUCAUGCUGAACUUUUUUUAUCUCACUACUCAAACUGACAGGAUUUAUAAAUGUCAAUGAAACUCUUUUGCACACAAUUCUAAUAAAAUUGAUGUAAAACAAUUCAAUGGAUCUAUGUCUUCAUGUACCAUAUAUAUUAUGUUUAUGAUUGGUAUGUUUCUUUUCCUACAAGAAACACCCUAAUUUCUUUAAAGAAAUGCCUUGGCCAGCGGUCACUUAAGCAAAGUAAUCAGUUAAUCAGUCUCGUAACAGGUCAGCGCUAUGAGUUUUGACCUUUUAUAAUCUUGUAAGCUUAACAAAUGAGUUGUAUCUUUUAGCUAAACUCAAACACAUCAUGACAAAAAUCAUAUUUACACUGCAUGGUGUUGAGGUCAGUGCAAAAGUAAAGUGAAAUUGCAUUCUGUAAGCAUGCAUAAGUCUGUAAACGUGGCACCAAAGCACACACUAGUUCUCAAAAUAAAACGUUAAA